This 383-nucleotide ribosomal RNA is filed under the name uncultured bacterium. RNAcentral's name for it is "bacterial SSU rRNA". It matches the Rfam family "Bacterial small subunit ribosomal RNA", at positions 28 to 412 of the family's 1533-position model. The record is from RNAcentral.
GACGAACGCUGGCGGCGUGCUUAACACAUGCAAGUCGAGCGGUAAGGCCCUUUCGGGGUACGACGAGCGGCGAACGGGUGAGUAACACGUGGGUGACCUGCCCUCAGCUCUGGGAUAAGCCUGGGAAACCGGGUCUAAUACCGGAUAUGACUCCAUGACGCAUGUUGUGGGGUGGAAAGCCUUGUGCGGCUGAGGAUGGGCCCGCGGCCUAUCAGCUUGUUGGUGGGGUGAUGGCCUACCAAGGCGACGACGGGUAGCCGGCCUGAGAGGGCGACCGGCCACACUGGGACUGAGACACGGCCCAGACUCCUACGGGAGGCAGCAGUGGGGAAUCUUGCGCAAUGGGCGAAAGCCUGACGCAGCGACGCCGCGUGAGGGAUGAC